Vicugna pacos (alpaca) is the source of this 1722-nucleotide non-coding RNA. The record is from RefSeq and is a predicted model, not a curated record. Lineage: Eukaryota; Metazoa; Chordata; Mammalia; Artiodactyla; Camelidae.
AGCCCCUCAGCAGCCUGCCAACACUCAGCAGAUGGGUGGGACUGGACGGCGGGGUCACAUGAUCACACCUGUGGCUUACAGCAUCCCCUGACAACCGUGUGGAGAAUGACCCAGGAGGCUACUGGACUUACAAGAACAGCCUACCAAGAAUUGGCUCCUUGGUUCCCUGGAACAUCGUCUUCUUUCUGGCACAAGGAAGAACAUUUGUUACGUGUUAUCAUCCACUUUCGUGCAAAACCCCACCACCACCACCCCAGACCUGCCUGCCGUCUUUUCUUACCGGGGCUACCGCUGAAGCCCCCCAGCCGACCCGCCACGCUGGCAUGGCCCCUCAGCCCCUCCUCGCACCGCAGCCAGAGUAAGCUCUUCACAAGGUCAGUCUGCGCAUUUCUUUCUCCAGCUUAAACCCCGGAGAGGGGCUUCCCUGCUCUCACGGUAAGAAACAGAGUACUGGCUGUGUUCUCCGAGGCUCCGGGUGGUCCAGCCCAGGCCUGUCUUCUCAGCAUCCUCCCCCUGCCCCCACCCCAGACACACCCCCCUUCUUCCUUACCCUCGGCCAGCCUCCCAGCCCUCUCUGUCUGUUUAUCAUCGCACAUAUCGUCAUUUUUAUCUAUUUUUUCAAGUCUCUGAUGACCUGUCUGCUCGAAAAGCCUGUUUUCAAAAUCAGGGUCCAAGUCAUGCAUAUUUUGCUCCAUAUUUGACCCCCAAGCAUUUAGCUCCCAUGCAGCACGUGUUCCUCCCACGUCUAUUGGAUGAUGGUCUGGCUGGAGAUGUCAGAUUUGUGAUGAGCCAGUCAAACCCAGGGAGCGGACGAGAACGAGGAGGGAAGAGGGUCAGAGGAAGACUGGGAGCGUCCAUCCGCGGGGCCCAGGAGGAGUGUGCCGGGCCGUGAGGCUGUGGGCAGUCAGACCAACGGGGAGCCAUGUAAGCGGCUCUGGAAAGUCCUCCCCUCAGCGCCGGUUACUUUCUGCAGUUGUACCUGCGUCUCCUGAGGAAGUAACAGAGCUGAGUACGGAAUUUCCCGUCAUCCUCUCCUUGUGGAACAGAGACUUGCUUCACAGCCUGGGGUUGAAUAAGGACCUGUGAGCAAUUGUCACUGAAUCCUCUCCUUGGCCCCUCCCCAAGGAGACCCCAAUUCCCUGCGGGAUGGAGCACAGGUGUGUCAUGCACUUAUCUUCCAGGUGCAAAGGAUCACUCUCCGAGAGGCUGCAGGAGAGCAGGUAAAGGGCCCACCCGGGUGAAGUGGCUGUGACAAGCCGCCUCCGCCUUCUGAAAGCCGCCUGAGAGUCACCCCCUCCUGCCCCUGAGAAGGAUGGCGUCACUACCCCACGGACAGGGAAGCCAGCACAACAGGAACACGGAGCCUCAGGAAAGUGAUGCCAGAUGCAUGCAGGACGCCCGCCUGAGCUUGAAUCUCAGAUCAACAGCAGACUCUCAGUAUCAGUAUGUCCAUGCAAUGUUUAGACAUGUUUACACUAAAAAAUUACCCAUUGCUUCCUUUUUUCCUUUUUUUUAUUGAAGUCUGGUCAGUUUACAAUGUUGUGUCAGUUUCUAGUGUGCAGCACACUGUUUCAGUCACACAAGAACACACAUAUAUGCCUUCUCAUAUUAUUAUGGGUUACUACAAGAUAGUGAACGCACUUCCCUGUGCUCUACACUAUGAACGUGUUUAUUUUAUAUCUAGUAGUCAGUAUCUGCACGUCUCAAACUCUCGGUUUACCC